AUUCCUGCUCUGAACAUUGACGAGAAUUCAAUUCAAGAAAACAAACCAAUUCCUGAUGUACUAUUAUCAAAGAGUGUCAGUUCAGGAAAUCUGAGUUCAAUGGAUUGGAUGCAUGGUCCUGCAAUGAAGCCUGCUUUCCUUGAUUUCCCUGGAAUAGAUUUUAACGCGGUUUAUGGCAUGCGGAGAGCGUUUAGUGAAGGAGAUAUCAAGGUCAAUCUAAAACAAUUCAUGUAUUUUGUGUGUGCUUCUUAUAAAUUAAAUAACAUCUAUGGCCACUUUGUUAAACAUUAUAUGUUGUAUUGGAAAAAAUCUAAGUCCCACGUUUAAAAGAGACAAGACUUGGAUAAAGUUUAUAAAGAGAGAAUUUAAGAAUGAGUCAGGUCCAAUAUAACAAUUUAAUAUGUUGGUGUAUCUGGACUCGGAUCGUCAGUAGCGCACACGGUGAACGGAUGUUACUAAGUCCAAAUACAUCAACAUAUAAUGUCUAAGACAAAGAAGCCAUGGAUGUUACUUAAUUUAUAUAGAUUGAUAAAUAUAUUGUAUACCUAGUUGCCAUAUCAACAAGAUUUUGUGUAUGAUUAACAUUGUUUGUAUAACAGACUCUUGGCAAUGGUAACAUGAGUGUUGGCCAAUCCACUCUAGAGAGGCCUUUUCUUCUCAGUAACUGCACGAGUGAGC
Molecule: long non-coding RNA, 678 nt
Filed under: Medicago truncatula (barrel medic)
Lineage: Eukaryota; Viridiplantae; Streptophyta; Magnoliopsida; Fabales; Fabaceae
Description: long non-coding RNA (MTRU_LNC000723)
Source: RNAcentral